GUAGGGAAUCUUCGGCAAUGGGGGGAACCCUGACCGAGCAACGCCGCGUGAGUGAAGAAGGUUUUCGGAUCGUAAAGCUCUGUUGUAAGAGAAGAACGUGUGUGAGAGUGGAAAGUUCACACAGUGACGGUAACUUACCAGAAAGGGACGGCUAACUACGUGCCAGCAGCCGCGGUAAUACGUAGGUCCCGAGCGUUGUCCGGAUUUAUUGGGCGUAAAGCGAGCGCAGGCGGUUUGAUAAGUCUGAAGUAAAAGGCUGUGGCUUAACCAUAGUAUGCUUUGGAAACUGUCAAACUUGAGUGCAGAAGGGGAGAGUGGAAUUCCAUGUGUAGCGGUGAAAUGCGUAGAUAUAUGGAGGAACACCGGUGGCGAAAGCGGCUCUCUGGUCUGUAACUGACGCUGAGGCUCGAAAGCGUGGGGAGCAAACAGGAUUAGAUACCCUGGUAGUCC
Molecule: ribosomal RNA, 450 nt
Filed under: uncultured bacterium
Lineage: Bacteria
Description: partial 16S ribosomal RNA
Rfam family: Bacterial small subunit ribosomal RNA
Source: RNAcentral